UAAUACGUAGGGGACGAGCGUUGUCCGGAAUUACUGGGCGUAAAGGGCGCGCAGGCUGUGCUGCAAGUCAGCUGUGAAAUGUCUGGGCUUAACCCGGGCAUGCGGUUGAGACUGCAGUGCUGGAGUGCUGUAGAGGCAAGUGGAAUUCCCAGUGUAGCGGUGAAAUGCGUAGAUAUUGGGAAGAACACCGGUGGCGAAGGCGACUUGCUGGGCAGCAACUGACGCUGAGGCGCGAAAGCCAGGGGAGCAAACGGG
Molecule: ribosomal RNA, 255 nt
Filed under: uncultured bacterium
Lineage: Bacteria
Description: partial 16S ribosomal RNA
Rfam family: Bacterial small subunit ribosomal RNA
Source: RNAcentral